AAAUGAAUAUAUAUUGAAUGUAACAUACCAGAUUUUGGUAUAAAAAUAAAAAUAAAUAAAAAUAGUGUGAGAAACUAUUUUUAUUGGAUUUAGAGAAGUAAAACAUAAGUCAGAAGUGACUUGUGCUGAAAUCGGAAUGAAAACAGAAGAUUUAGAAUUUUCUGUUGAAAACGGGACAGAUAAAUUAGCAGAAAAUGCACAGUCUCAGAAAAUUAUUAAAUUGGAGGAUAAGUCAGAAAUAUUUUUAUGAGACUAGAUUUAAAGUUUCAGAUUUUUCUGACACCCGGAAGGUGGAAAAUAAAAUCCGACAAGUUAUCUGAUAAAGAUUACAGUUCGAUACAGUUUUCGGUGACCAAAUGGGAUCGAAACUGAAAACUUAAAGUAUAUUCUUACUCAGUACGUUAAACU
Molecule: long non-coding RNA, 408 nt
Filed under: Ananas comosus (pineapple)
Lineage: Eukaryota; Viridiplantae; Streptophyta; Magnoliopsida; Poales; Bromeliaceae
Description: long non-coding RNA (ACOM_LNC037798)
Source: RNAcentral